RNAcentral lists this long non-coding RNA (5644 nucleotides) under Sus scrofa (pig). RNAcentral describes it as "lncRNA (ENSSSCG00050057175.1)". The record is from RNAcentral. Lineage: Eukaryota; Metazoa; Chordata; Mammalia; Artiodactyla; Suidae.
GUUCCCUUCCUUUUUAACUCCCUCUUAUUAUUCCUUGGUGAUUUCUAUUGUUUUGGAAUCAUUCUCAACCAACAUAACAAGUACUAUUAACCAUAUGGGAUUACCCAUCUAAAUUCCCAGGGAACAGAGAGUAGCUGUGAAUAUUUUUGUAUGCCUGCUGUAUUAUUGCCUUCGUGCUGCCUCAGAUUAUUAGAGGAAAUUUACCAAGAAUCCCCAAGCAAUUGAUACCUCAGAAAAUUACUCUGCUUCUAAUAGGAAGCCUAUUAACUCAGAGGGAAAAUAUAUUAAGUAUUACUCCAUAAGGUGCUGUAUGGACUUAAAAAUGUGUAUAUACUUUGAUUUAGUAUAGAAAAAAAAUCUUAUCUGUUUUUUGGUUAAUAUGUGUGGGUUUUAAAUUUUGGGAUGUGUGUUUCAUAACAUCAAUCAAGGCAUUUAGUCUUCCAGCCCAGUGCAAACAACAUACCCAGCAAGAAUUCCUAACUUUUUUGCAACCUAUGCAGUUGACCUUGUUAUAUAGUUAAGCAGGCAACAAGACAAGGGUUUUGCACAGUUUUUCAAUACUUUUGACUCAUGUUUGUUGAUUGCUCUAGCAUUUCAGUACCAAAAAGGAUUUCUAGAUUUAAAAUACAGUUUUCAGAUCACUGAACUUUUGAUCUUUUAUGCAAUUUACCUUGGUACUUUAUCACUCAAGCUUUUCAGCUAUAUCUUUUUAUCACCAUUUUACAGACAUAGUAGAGAAAAGAUUUUAAUGACAUUUAUUUACCAAGUGUUUUGAGUUCUUUAGAUGAAAUUAAGUACCCUCUUAAAUUUGUUGAGGCUUGUUUUGUGUCCUCAGAGUUCAUCUGUAUCGUCCCAUAUAGCAGGAUUUCAUUAAGGCUGAAUAACAGUCCUUUGUAUGUAUAUAUCACAUUUUCUUUAUCCACUCACCUGUUAAUGGGCAUUUAGAUUGUUUCCACAUCUUGACUAUUGUAAAUAAUGCUGCAUUGAACAUCAGAGUAAAGAUAUCUCUUGGGAUCCUUAUUUCAAUUAUUUUGGAUAAAUAUUCAGAGGUGGGAUUUUCUGGAUCAUAAGGUAGUUCUAUUUUUAAUAUUUUGAGGAAACUCCAUAUCAUUUUCUGUGGGAGCUAUACCAUUUUUACAUUCCCAUUAACAGUAUACAAGGGUUCCAAUUUCUCCACAUCCUCACCAACGUUUUAUUUUUUGAUGAUAGCCAUCCUAACAGAUAUGAGGUAAUAUCUCAUUGUGGUUUUGAUUUGAAUGUCGCUGAUGAUUAGCGAUGUUGAACUCCUUUUUGUAUACCUGUUGGCCACUUACGCUUCUUUGGAGAAAUGUCUAAUCAAGUCCUUUGCCUAUUUUUUAAAAAAAUCUUUUUUGGCUACUUCUCUGCAUAUGGAGUUCCAAAGCCAGGGAUCAGAUAUGAGCCGAAGUUGCAACUUACGGCACAGCUGGACCAAAACCAGAUCCUUUUCACCCACUGUGCAGGGCCAGGGAUCAAACCUACUUGAUAUUCAAUAAGUUCCUGGGACAAUGAUUUUUAUAUGCUUAUACUUUUGUUGGUGCCAUUUAAAGGAACAUUGGGAAAAUGUUUUUUGCCCACAAUGUUGGUGUUAGAGGCAAAGUUAAGUCCUGUGCUAGUUUUUGUAAAUUUUAAGUAACUGUAUUAUCUCUAUUAUAACUUGAUUCCCAUCAGCAUAUAAAGCCAAUAUACAAAACCUCCCUCUUGGGAUGGCCAUGGCAGUUUGCCACUCAGGUCUGCCUUUAAAAUAGACUUUGCCGAUCAGCUUCAAGGAGUUCAGUUAGCUGAGAGCCUCCAGCCAUGGCACUAUGAGAUCCACUGCAGCAUUUAAGCCAAGGAAAGCCUUCUCCUAGAUAACCCUAGCCAGUGACGGACCAUGGCAAGGCUCCCAAAUACUGGCCAUUCUGCUUCAUGAAGAACACCUCAAUGGGCAGUCUUGAUGACAGGGCUCCCUGACUGGGCUAGCUGAGACUUCCUCAGAGCUGCACAGUAGUCUCUUCUGACCUAAUUCUCCUUCCCUUCCUCCUCUCCUUUCACAGGUCUCAAACCUGUGUAGUUAUCUAUAGGUUGCCCUGCCUAUUCCUGCUCCCUCUUCAUCUCCUUCAAAGCCAUUAUCCCAAUAAAUCCUUGUGUUUGUCUCCCCAUCUUAUGGUCUAACCAGAUGACCUAACAAACACACCUCCCUUGAGUCCCAAAUCCCUGUUUAGCUGCAACCCCAUUUCUUUGUUCUGUUCUGCAAUAGAAUUGUACAAGAGCCAUCUAACACUGUGGUUUCUACUACCUACUUCCUGCUUACUCAUUAACCUCCAUUUAUGUCUUCUUUUUACAAUGUUCCACUUGAAAAGUUUUCUCUGUUGGAUCAAUCUCUCUCCAUGUUCCAAGUCCAAUGGAUACUUUCUUGUCAUCUUACUUUGUCUCUCAUCUCCCUGAUUUGAUAUUUUUAAGGGAAUGGAAAAACUACUUUUCACUUGCAAAUAAGAGAGCCAUAUCAGGUGCUAGUUAAGAGUAUGGCUUUUGGAAUUAUAUAGUAUUGACUCUUAAAUCUGCUAUGUAACCUUAGGCAAAAACAUUUCUCGCUGUGCCUUGGUUUCCGUGCCUAGAAAAUGGGGUAAUAAUAGCAUCUACCUCUUGAAAUUGUGAAGAGUAAGCUAGUUCAAGGCAAUUCAAACAGUGGCACAGGAGUUGCUAGCAAUUGUUGAUAUUAAUUAAUGACAUGUUCUUUUGGUUUUUCUCCUACUUCUGAGCCCUCUGUCUCCAUUUUUCUUCCCUAGUUUUUUUCUUGUAAAUGAAGAAGGAACUCUAAAUGUUGGAGUGCUGCAGAACUUGAUCAGGUGCCUACUUUUCUAGCUAUACUUUCUCCUAGCCCAGUGAAUUUACAUACCUCCUAGAUGCCAGCAGCUCCUAAGUAUAUGUCUUUAUCCUUGACCCAUAUCCAACAACAUUUGACAUUUCUACUUGUAUAGUAUAAACAUGUCAAGUUUAACAUAUCAGAAACAGAACUCCUGAUAACUCCAUCUUGUCAAAACCUGAGCUAAGCUUCCCCACUCCAGCAACUUCUCAUUCGCUCAAGCUUAAAAAACCGUUUUUCCUUCUACUACCAUCACUUUGGUCUAAAUCACCAUUUCCUCUAGCCUGAAUUAUGGAAAUAGCCACCAGCCUGGGCUCCUAGCUUUCACUUGUGUUCCCCUCUGCACAGAGUUGCCAAGUUUGUCAUUUUAAUGUGUAGCAAAAUUAUGUCACUCCCUCCUUAAAAUCCUUCUUUGGCUUCUGAUUGAAUUCAGAAUAAAAUCUAAACAUUUUCCUUUGGAUUACAUAAUACCACGUGAUCUGGUCCCUGCCUAUUUCACACUCAUCUAUCAUCUCCUUCCAGAUUUGUUAUAUCCCAAUGCUCCUGGUCUACUCGCUGCUUUUUAAGGUGCUAAACUCUUAUCAGCCUUGGGAGCCUUGGGUUUGCUCUCUCUUCUCUAUGCAUUGCUCUUCUUUUUUUUUUUUUUACCUGACCAGUUACUUCAAAUUUCAGGUUUCAGUUCAGAUGGCACUACAUUUGGGAUGCUUCCCACUAUCUAAAAGAAUGUAUAACUGCCUUUGUUGACUAUUCUUUGGCCUCCUCUAGGACUCUUGAAAAUCCAAAAUUGUGUUGGUUGUUUAUUAUCUGUCAUUCUACAUUAGAAUUUAAUCUGCCUCCAUGAGAGACCUUACCUCUUAUUCACCUCACCUCAAUAUACCCACUGCCUAGUGAGUGUAGUGCCUGGUACACAGCAGGCUCUUAAUAAAUUUGGGCUUAAUUAAUAAAUGACUGAAUCUGACAGUGAACAUUUUAUCCAAAACAAAAACAAAAACCUAACUGAUUAACAAUUUAAAAGCAUCACUCUGGGCAAUAGAAUGUAGGUACUCACAGCUCUUACUAUCUACACUAGAAAUUGUGGAGGUCAAGCAGAUGAAAAAAGUUAUAAUAUUAGAAAUGUUUAAAAUGGAAACUAAUAUGUAAAAGAUUAGAAUGCUAACAUUUUUGUCCCAGGUUUUUCCAUAAAGCUUAAGUUAUGUUAAAGUUUAGGUAGAUAUUGGAGAAGUUAGGGAAGUUAAACAUGUCUUAAACAUCUACAAAUAUGCUAAGAACUUAGCUAGAUUCUUUACACAAAUAAAAAUGUAUAAAGAAUGUAUAUAUAUUUAUCAGAGACAUUUACUUUCUAUUUUUAUAUUGAUUAAAAAUAAGCUAUAAUAAAGUAUAAAGUUUUUGCAAAAUAAUACUUUAUUUCCUUUUAUGUUUUUAAAAUAAUACUUGAUACAUUUCCUAUGUAAUAUGAAAAUUGGCACCUUAAAAUAAGAGCUUAAGAACCUAUAAAGCCAUUUUCUAUUGUGAGAGGGGAUAAUGCAUUUUACAUUUUAAUCAGUCAGAAAUAAAACUGUCAUAUUUCUUUAUAAGUAGAAUACUUUUCUGAGCAUUUUCAAGGAUUUAUAUAAGGUAAAGGGAGGGAUUUAAAAGAUAAAAAUGACCGUCAUCAUCUAAACACUUGAUCUAUAGUUAUGAUUUGCUAGAUUGCUAGUAAGACUUCAGUGAAGUAGCAGACUGUCCAUUGCACAGAUUUUAAAAGCAUAGAGGCUUAGAAAAGUUGGGUAACUUACCUAAAUGAACUCUAAUGAAAUGAUCUCAGUCAAGAUUUAAAUCCAGGUCACUCUGAUUUCAAAAUUUUUAAUCACUGUUUUGGGCUGAGUGUCCCAUACUGAAGCCUCAGUCUUCAAUGUGAUGGUAUUUGGAGGUGGGGCCUUUGGUAGGUAGUUGGGCUUAAAUUUGGUCAUAGGUGUGGGACCCUCCUGAUGAGAUUAGUGCCCUUUUAAGAAAAGACAAGAGCUCUCUCUCUCAGUCCCUCUGUCUUUCCAGGAAGAUGCUCAGAGGAAAGGCCAUGUGAGCACACAGUCAAAAGCUGGCUCUUACCAGGAACUAAUUCUGUGCGCGUACCUUGAUCUUGGACUACCCAGCCUCCAGAACUGUGAGAAAUAAAUGUCUCUUAUUAAAAUCACUUAGUCUUUGUUAUCAUGUUACAGUAGCCAAGCAGAGUAAAGCCACUGCAUUGCUAAACAAUCAUUAUAUUGGCUCUAUGGCAUGAAAAGAAAAGUCAUCUUAAUGAGAAAAAGCCUAAUUCUUUACUGCUCCAGCUAUAACAGUGAAAUCCACAAGGGAUAUUUCUCUUGGUUCAAUAAUAUUUUAUUAGAAUUUAAGUUAUAAAUGAAUAUGAUGAGCUUAGUCAUCAGAGAGACCCAGAUCUCUCUGCAGAGCUGUGGUUGAAGUUCAGUAGGGAUCCUUCAGUGUAUUAGACUACAUAGCAAACUCUCUGGGGUGCCUUGGUUUCAUAAGCACUAAAAAUCUGCAUGGGUAUUGAAGGGAAGGCUUGAAAGAACCUCUGAGGUGACCCAGAGUCUGAACUUCCCUUGCCUGUGCUCCCUACUAGGGAUCUUGGUUGAUCAAGCACAGAUUUUCACUCAUAGCCAGCAGCAACUGCACCAGUGAUACUUUAAGCUUCCCCAGGGAUGAAAUGCCUCGUCACUCAGCAACCACUUUGGCAGACUAAAGGGUGACAUUGAUUGGCUCUGAACAAGCGAGUAAGAGGAAGAGUGUCCAAAUCUCCAGAGG